GAUGAACGCUGGCGGCGUGCCUAAUACAUGCAAGUCGAGCGAACAGACGAGGAGCUUGCUACUCUGAUGUUAACGGCGGACGGGUGAGUAACACGUGGAGAACCUACCUAUAAGACUGGGAUAACUUCGGGAAUCCGGAGCUAAUACCGGAUAAUAUAUUGAACCGCAUGGUUCAAUAGUGAAAGACGGUUUUGCUGUCACUUAUAGAUGGAUCCGCGCCGCAUUAGCUAGUUGGUGAGGUAACGGCUUACCAAGGCGACGAUGCGUAGCCGACCGGAGAGGGGUAUCGGGCACAGGGGAGUGGACAGACGGUCCGGGCCCGAACGGGGGGCAGGAGUAGGAAGUGGGGCGGAAGGGGCGAAAGCCGGACGAGGGAACGACGCGUGAGGGAGGAAGGUCGUCGGGUGGAAAACCUCUGUUAUGAGGGAAGAACAAUUGGGUAGGUACCGAGGGACGUGUGAAGGGUCCUUAAGAAGAAGGCCAGGGCUAACAAGUG
RNAcentral lists this ribosomal RNA (496 nucleotides) under uncultured bacterium. Its description in RNAcentral is "partial 16S ribosomal RNA". It matches the Rfam family "Bacterial small subunit ribosomal RNA", at positions 28 to 507 of the family's 1533-position model. The record is from RNAcentral.